This 352-nucleotide ribosomal RNA is filed under the name uncultured bacterium. RNAcentral's name for it is "partial 16S ribosomal RNA". It matches the Rfam family "Bacterial small subunit ribosomal RNA", at positions 338 to 707 of the family's 1533-position model. The record is from RNAcentral.
CCUACGGGAGGCAGCAGUGGGGAAUAUUGCACAAUGGGGGAAACCCUGAUGCAGCGACGCCGCGUGAGUGAAGAAGUAUUUCGGUAUGUAAAGCUCUAUCAGCAGGGAAGAAAAUGACGGUACCUGAUUAAGAAGCCCCGGCUAACUACGUGCCAGCAGCCGCGGUAAUACGUAGGGGGCAAGCGUUAUCCGGAUUUACUGGGUGUAAAGGGAGCGUAGACGGCAGCAGAAGUCUGGAGUGAAAGGCCGGGGCUGAACCCCGGAACGGCUUGGGAAACUGUGCAGCGAGAGUGCAGGAGAGGUAAGUGUAAUUCCUAGUGUUGCGGUGAAAUGCGUAGAUAUUAGGAGGUAC